GUUAUAGGGUCAAGCGAAUAAGUGCAUGUGGUGGAUGCCUUGGCGAUCACAGGCGAUGAAGGACGUAGUAGCUUGCGAAAAGCUGCGGGGAGCUGGCAAACGAGCUUUGAUCCGCAGAUGUCCGAAUGGGGAAACCCGGCCCGUAUGGGUCAUCCCUUGCUGAAUACAUAGGCAAGGGAGGCGAACGCAGUGAACUGAAACAUCUAAGUAGCUGCAGGAAAAGAAAUCAACCGAGAUUCCCAGAGUAGUGGCGAGCGAAAUGGGAACAGCCUUGUACUCUUUAGCAGUAUUGUUAGCGGAACGGAAUGGAAAGUCCGGCCAUAGUGGGUGAUAGCCCCGUACGCGAAAACAGUAUUGUGGAACUAGGUGUACGACAAGUAGGGCGGGACACGUGAAAUCCUGUCUGAAGAUGGGGGGACCAUCCUCCAAGGCUAAAUACUCGUGAUCGACCGAUAGUGAACCAGUACCGUGAGGGAAAGGCGAAAAGAACCCCGGGAGGGGAGUGAAAUAGAUCCUGAAACCGCAUGCAUACAAACAGUCGGAGCCUGGAAACGGGUGACGGCGUACCUUUUGUAUAAUGGGUCAGCGACUUACAUUCAGUGGCAAGCUUAACCGAUUAGGGAAGGCGUAGCGAAAGCGAGUCCGAAUAGGGCGUUCAGUCGCUGGGUGUAGACCCGAAACCAAGUGAUCUAUCCAUGGCCAGGUUGAAGGUGCGGUAACACGUACUGGAGGACCGAACCCACUAACGUUGAAAAGUUAGGGGAUGAGCUGUGGAUAGGGGUGAAAGGCUAAACAAACUUGGAAAUAGCUGGUUCUCUCCGAAAACUAUUUAGGUAGUGCCUCGUGUCUCACCUUCGGGGGUAGAGCACUGUCAUGGUUGGGGGGUCUAUUGCUGAUUACCCCGCCAUAGCAAACUCCGAAUACCGAAGAGUGCAAUCACGGGAGACAGACAUCGGGUGCUAACGUCCGGUGUCAAGAGGGAAACAACCCAGACCGCCAGCUAAGGUCCCUAAGAUUGGCUAAGUGGGAAACGAAGUGGGAAGGCUAAAACAGUCAGGAGGUUGGCUUAGAAGCAGCCACCCUUUAAAGAAAGCGUAAUAGCUCACUGAUCGAGUCGUCCUGCGCGGAAGAUGUAACGGGGCUAAGCCAGUCACCGAAGCUGCGGAUGCACGUAAGUGCAUGGUAGGAGAGCGUUCUGUAAGCCUGUGAAGGUGUCUUGUAAAGGAUGCUGGAGGUAUCAGAAGUGCGAAUGCUGACAUGAGUAGCGAUAAAGGGGGUGAAAGGCCCCCUCGCCGUAAGCCCAAGGUUUCCUACGCAACGUUCAUCGGCGUAGGGUGAGUCGGCCCCUAAGGCGAGGCAGAGAUGCGUAGCUGAUGGGAAGCAGGUUAAUAUUCCUGCACCGUCGUAUGAUGCGAUGGGGGACGGAUCGCGGAAGGUUGUCCGGGUGUUGGAAGUCCCGGUCCCUACAUUGGAGAUGGCACUUAGGCAAAUCCGGGUGCGUGAUUCAAGGGUGUGGGGCGAGCGACGUUAGGUCGCGAAGCAAUUGGAAGUGGUUCCAAGAAAAGCCUCUAAGCUUCAGUCAUACGAGACCGUACCGCAAACCGACACAGGUGGGCGAGAUGAGUAUUCUAAGGCGCUUGAGAGAACUCGGGAGAAGGAACUCGGCAAAUUGGUACCGUAACUUCGGGAUAAGGUACGCCCUUGUAGUUUGACUGGCUCGCGCCAGAAGGAUGAAGGGGUUGCAAUAAAAUGGUGGCUGCGACUGUUUAAUAAAAACACAGCACUCUGCAAACACGAAAGUGGACGUAUAGGGUGUGACGCCUGCCCGGUGCCGGAAGAUUAAAUGAUGGGGUGCAAGCUCUUGAUUGAAGUCCCGGUAAACGGCGGCCGUAACUAUAACGGUCCUAAGGUAGCGAAAUUCCUUGUCGGGUAAGUUCCGACCUGCACGAAUGGCGUAACGAUGGCCACACUGUCUCCUCCCGAGACUCAGCGAAGUUGAAGUGUUUGUGAUGAUGCAAUCUCCCCGCGGCUAGACGGAAAGACCCCAUGAACCUUUACUGUAGCUUUGCAUUGGACUUUGAACCGAUCUGUGUAGGAUAGGUGGGAGGCUUUGAAACCGGGACGCUAGUUUCGGUGGAGCCGACCUUGAAAUACCACCCUGGUUUGUUUGAGGUUCUAACCUUGGCCCGUGAAUCCGGGUCGGGGACAGUGCAUGGUAGGCAGUUUGACUGGGGCGGUCUCCUCCCAAAGUGUAACGGAGGAGUUCGAAGGUACGCUUGGUACGGUCGGACAUCGUACCUAAAGUGCAAUGGCAAAAGCGUGCUUAACUGCGAGACCGACAAGUCGAGCAGGUGCGAAAGCAGGACAUAGUGAUCCGGUGGUUCUGUAUGGAAGGGCCAUCGCUCAACGGAUAAAAGGUACUCUGGGGAUAACAGGCUGAUACCGCCCAAGAGUUCAUAUCGACGGCGGUGUUUGGCACCUCGAUGUCGGCUCAUCUCAUCCUGGGGCUGUAGCCGGUCCCAAGGGUAUGGCUGUUCGCCAUUUAAAGAGGUACGUGAGCUGGGUUUAAAACGUCGUGAGACAGUUUGGUCCCUAUCUGCCGUGGGCGUUGGAAUCUUGACGGGGGCUGCUCCUAGUACGAGAGGACCGGAGUGGACGUACCGCUGGUGUACCUGUUGUCUCGCCAGAGGCAUCGCAGGGUAGCUAUGUACGGAAGAGAUAACCGCUGAAAGCAUCUAAGCGGGAAACUCGCCUGAAGAUGAGGAUUCCCUGGAGACUUGAUCUCCCUGAAGGGUCGUUCGAGACCAGGACGUUGAUAGGCUGGGUGUGGAAGCGCAGUAAUGUGUUCAGCUAACCAGUACUAAUUGCCCGUGCGGCUUGAUCCUAUAACC
Molecule: ribosomal RNA, 2891 nt
Filed under: Ralstonia solanacearum
Lineage: Bacteria; Pseudomonadati; Pseudomonadota; Betaproteobacteria; Burkholderiales; Burkholderiaceae
Also listed under: 1 other name
Description: bacterial LSU rRNA
Rfam family: Bacterial large subunit ribosomal RNA
Source: RNAcentral